CCUAACACAUGCAAGUCGAACGGUAACAGGAAGCAGCUUAGCUGCUUCGCUGACGAGUGGCGGACGGGUGAGUAAUGUCUGGGAAACUGCCUGAUGGAGGGGGAUAACUACUGGAAACGGUAGCUAAUACCGCAUAACGUCGCAAAACCAAAGAGGGGGACCUUCGGGCCUCUUGCCAUCGGAUGUGCCCAGAUGGGAUUAGCUAGUAGGUGGGGUAACGGCUCACCUAGGCGACGAUCCCUAGCUGGUCUGAGAGGAUGACCAGCCACACUGGAACUGAGACACGGUCCAGACUCCUACGGGAG
Molecule: ribosomal RNA, 305 nt
Filed under: uncultured bacterium
Lineage: Bacteria
Description: bacterial SSU rRNA
Rfam family: Bacterial small subunit ribosomal RNA
Source: RNAcentral